UCCCACACAGGAGAUAAUGGAUGUCGG
Molecule: non-coding RNA, 27 nt
Filed under: Mus musculus (house mouse)
Lineage: Eukaryota; Metazoa; Chordata; Mammalia; Rodentia; Muridae
Source: RNAcentral